AGUGAACGCUGGCGGUAGGCCUAACACAUGCAAGUCGAACGGCAGCACAGUAAGAGCUUGCUCUUACGGGUGGCGAGUGGCGGACGGGUGAGGAAUACAUCGGAAUCUACUUUUUCGUGGGGGAUAACGUAGGGAAACUUACGCUAAUACCGCAUACGACCUACGGGUGAAAGCAGGGGAUCUUCGGACCUUGCGCGAUUGAAUGAGCCGAUGUCGGAUUAGCUAGUUGGCGGGGUAAAGGCCCACCAAGGCGACGAUCCGUAGCUGGUCUGAGAGGAUGAUCCGCCCAAAUGGAAAUGAGACAAGGUCCCGACUCCUAAGGGAGGCAGCAGUGGGGAAUAUUGGAAAAUGGGCGCAAGCCUGAUCCAGCCAUACCGGGUGGGUGAAGAAGGCCUUUGGGUUGGAAAGCCCUUUUGUUGGGAAAGAAAAGCAGCAGGUUAAUACCCCGCUGUUCUGACGGUACCCAAAGAAUAAGCACCGGCUAACUUCGUG
RNAcentral lists this ribosomal RNA (492 nucleotides) under uncultured bacterium. RNAcentral's name for it is "partial 16S ribosomal RNA". It matches the Rfam family "Bacterial small subunit ribosomal RNA", at positions 29 to 507 of the family's 1533-position model. The record is from RNAcentral.